GACGAACGCUGGCGGCGCGCUUAACACAUGCAAGUCGAACGGAAAGGCCUGCUUUCCCUUGUGGAUUGCGGGUACUCGAGUGGCGAACGGGUGAGUAACACGUGAGUGAUCUGCCCCCAACUUGGGUAUAGGCCUGGGAAACUGGGUCUAAUUCCCGAUAGGACUGCAGGGUGGUGCCUGUGGUGGAAAACGAUUUUCUAGUGGUUGGGGAUGAGCUCGCGGCCUAUCAGCUUGUUGGUGGGGUAAUGGCCUACCAAGGCGGCGACGGGUAGCCGGCCUGAGAGGGUGGACGGCCACAUUGGGACUGAGAUACGGCCCAGACUCCUACGGGAGGCAGCAGUGGGGAAUAUUGCACAAUGGGCGGAAGCCUGAUGCAGCGACGCCGCGUGGGGGAUGACGGCCUUCGGGUUGUAAACUCCUUUCGACCGCGAGGAAGCCACCUGGUUGGAAGGGUGGUGACGGUAGUGGUAGAAGAAGCACCGGCUAACUACGUG
This 494-nucleotide ribosomal RNA is filed under the name uncultured bacterium. RNAcentral describes it as "partial 16S ribosomal RNA". It matches the Rfam family "Bacterial small subunit ribosomal RNA", at positions 28 to 507 of the family's 1533-position model. The record is from RNAcentral.